UCUAGCCAAAUGUCUGGGCAGUGCUUGCAGGACCACAGGUGCCUCAAGUUGUAGUUUCUGGAGGUCAGGAUCCACCAGGAAGAGGCCAGAAGCAGAAAGGCUUGGUUUCAUCUGUUGAAGACUUGCCUCAAGUGUCUGGAGAUUCUCAGAUUUCUGUUCACAGUGAAGCAUGAGGCAUCCAAAGGCUGAUGGGAAGCUCCUCUCUCCAGUUACCCAUGGUCAGGAAGCAGAUAGUCUUCCUUCUGAAGAACCAACAGAAGGUCUUCAACACUCUCCUCGACCGCCCUUUCAAAGAUGAUGCGCUGACCCAAUUUGAAACUACAGCUAUCCUGAAUCCAGGUUCUUCCAAUCUACUUUCUUUAGUUUGGAUGCCUCUCCUAAGUAAAUUGGUAGGAUGAAGACUUUUAGUUGCCUUAAAUCUUCCAUUUAUCUAUUCAGAAGAUACGGUGUGGUAUUGUGCAGGGCUUCCCAGUCUUUUAGAUUCUACAA
This is a long non-coding RNA of Canis lupus familiaris (dog), 489 nucleotides long. RefSeq lists it as uncharacterized. The transcript is spliced from 4 exons. NCBI's taxonomy places the organism in Eukaryota, Metazoa, Chordata, Mammalia, Carnivora, Canidae. The record is from RefSeq and is a predicted model, not a curated record.